GCCCAGACGACCUCCGGUGGUCCGGGGUACGUGGCUUCAAACCCGUAGCUGACUGACGUCAGAGUGGUUCGAUUCCACCUUCUGGGCG
Molecule: non-coding RNA, 88 nt
Organism: Ixodes scapularis (black-legged tick)
Lineage: Eukaryota; Metazoa; Arthropoda; Arachnida; Ixodida; Ixodidae
Source: the annotation of a RefSeq genome assembly